Molecule: ribosomal RNA, 571 nt
Filed under: uncultured bacterium
Lineage: Bacteria
Description: bacterial SSU rRNA
Rfam family: Bacterial small subunit ribosomal RNA
Source: RNAcentral
AGGCGACGACGGGUAGCCGGCCUGAGAGGGUGACCGGCCACACUGGGACUGAGACACGGCCCAGACUCCUACGGGAGGCAGCAGUGGGGAAUAUUGCACAAUGGGCGCAAGCCUGAUGCAGCGACGCCGCGUGAGGGAUGACGGCCUUCGGGUUGUAAACCUCUUUCAGCAGGGAAGAAGCGAGAGUGACGGUACCUGCAGAAGAAGCGCCGGCUAACUACGUGCCAGCAGCCGCGGUAAUACGUAGGGCGCAAGCGUUGUCCGGAAUUAUUGGGCGUAAAGAGCUCGUAGGCGGCUUGUCGCGUCGGUUGUGAAAGCCCGGGGCUUAACCCCGGGUCUGCAGUCGAUACGGGCAGGCUAGAGUUCGGUAGGGGAGAUCGGAAUUCCUGGUGUAGCGGUGAAAUGCGCAGAUAUCAGGAGGAACACCGGUGGCGAAGGCGGAUCUCUGGGCCGAUACUGACGCUGAGGAGCGAAAGCGUGGGGAGCGAACAGGAUUAGAUACCCUGGUACUCCAUGCCGUAAACGGUGGGCACUAGGUGUGGGCAACAUUCCACGUUGUCCGUGCCGCAUC